UGAGAACCACCAGUUUAGCAAAAGCUGUAAGGGAUAAAGGCAAUCAAGUGACAGAUAAUGUCACAAAUUCAUGCCCAGAAGAGCUUUCGAGUUCACAUGCAGAAGAAUCUGGAGUUCUUCAUGAUACAUGCGGUGCUGAAUCAGAUCUUCAGAUGCAUCCUUUACUGUUCCAGGCCCCUGAAGAUGGCCGUCUAUCAUAUUUUCCAC
RNAcentral lists this unclassified non-coding RNA (207 nucleotides) under Hevea brasiliensis (rubber tree). Lineage: Eukaryota; Viridiplantae; Streptophyta; Magnoliopsida; Malpighiales; Euphorbiaceae. The record is from RNAcentral.